UACGUAGGGUGCGAGCGUUAAUCGGAAUUACUGGGCGUAAAGCGUGCGCGGGCGGUUUUGUAAGACAGGCGUGAAAUCCCCGGGCUCAACCUGGGAAUUGCGCUUGUGACUGCAAGGCUAGAGUGCGUCAGAGGGGGGUAGAAUUCCACGUGUAGCAGUGAAAUGCGUAGAGAUGUGGAGGAAUACCGAUGGCGAAGGCAGCCCCCUGGGACGUGACUGACGCUCAUGCACGAAAGCGUGGGGAGCAAACAGG
This 253-nucleotide ribosomal RNA is filed under the name uncultured bacterium. RNAcentral describes it as "partial 16S ribosomal RNA". It matches the Rfam family "Bacterial small subunit ribosomal RNA", at positions 524 to 776 of the family's 1533-position model. The record is from RNAcentral.